GAUGAAGAACGUAGCGAAAUGCGAUAAGUAAUGUGAAUUGCAGAAUUCAGUGAAUCAUCGAAUCUUUGAACGCAUAUUGCGCCCGCCAGUAUUCUGGCGGGCAUGCCUGUUCGAGCGUCAUUUCAACCAUCAAGCCCCCGGCUUGUGUUGGGGACCUGCGGCUGCCGCAGGCCCUGAAAACCAGUGGCGGGCUCGCUAGUCACUCCGAGCGUAGUAAUACAUCUCGCUCAGGGCGUGCUGCGGGUUCCGGCCGUUAAAAAGCCUUAUUUACCCAAGGUUGACCUCGGAUCAGGUAGGAAGACCCGCUGAACUUAAGCAUAUCAAUAAGCGGAGGA
Molecule: unclassified non-coding RNA, 335 nt
Filed under: soil metagenome
Description: partial contains 5.8S ribosomal RNA, internal transcribed spacer 2, and large subunit ribosomal RNA
Rfam family: 5.8S ribosomal RNA (bases 1-120)
Source: RNAcentral